UCUUGGUCAUUUAGAGGAAGUAAAAGUCGUAACAAGGUUUCCGUAGGUGAACCUGCGGAAGGAUCAUUAUCGAUUAAGAAUGGUUGCCCUCUGUGCUGGCCCCCCCGGGCAGGUGCACGUUGGUGACUUUCAUCCAACCCCUUGUGCACCUUUGGCCUCUUGUUGGCUUUGGCUGGCAGAGGAUUUUGACACACACACACUAGAAUGUAACGAUAGACCACUCAGUGCGCGAGCACUGCUAAUGUACAACUUUCAACAACGGAUCUCUUGGCUCUCGCAUCGAUGAAGAACGCAGCGAAAUGCGAUAAGUAAUGUGAAUUGCAGAAUUCAGUGAAUCAUCGAAUCUUUGAACGCACCUUGCACCCUUUGGCAUUCCGAAGGGUAUGCUCGUUUGAGUGUCAUUGUAAUCUCACACUCUCCGAUUCGGGCUCGGAUUGGGAGUGGUGGACUUGGGUGUUGCUGCUUCACGGUGGCCCGCCUCAAAUGCAUUAGUGCAACUCUGAGUUGGACAUAGUACGGCGUGAUAAGUAUCUUCGCCGGCACCUCGUAAUAAGAGGGUGGCUAAUUUGGAGCGCUGUGCUUCUAAUGGUCUUCGGACAAUCUCUGACAACUUGACCUCAAAUCGAGUAGGACUACCCGCUGAACUUAAGCAUAUCAAUAAGCGGAGGAA
This 670-nucleotide ribosomal RNA is filed under the name uncultured Tremelloscypha. Its description in RNAcentral is "eukaryotic LSU rRNA". The stretch from base 248 to 401 matches the Rfam family "5.8S ribosomal RNA". The record is from RNAcentral. Lineage: Eukaryota; Fungi; Basidiomycota; Agaricomycetes; Sebacinales; Sebacinaceae.